CCUACGGGAGGCAGCAGUGAGGAAUAUUGGUCAAUGGGCGGGAGCCUGAACCAGCCAAGUCGCGUGAGGGAAGAAGGUCCUAUGGAUUGUAAACCUCUUUAGGCGGGGAGCAAUGCCGGGCACGCGUGCCCGGAGGGAGAGUCCCCGCAGAAUACGCAUCGGCUAACUCCGUGCCAGCAGCCGCGGUAAUACGGGGGAUGGGGGCGUUAUCGGGAUUUAUUGGGUUGAAAGGGUGGGUAGUCGGAUUUUUAGGUAAGGGGUAAAAGGGCCGGGCGCACCCCGGGCCGGCCGUUGAAACUGGGGAUCUUGAGUGGGCGAGAAGUAUGCGGAAUGCGUGGUGUAGCGGUGAAAUGCAUAGAUAUCACGCAGAACUCCGAUUGCGAAGGCAGCAUACCGGCGCCCGACUGACGCUGAGGCACGAAAGCGUGGGGAUCGAACAGGAUUAGAUACCCGAGUAGUC
RNAcentral lists this ribosomal RNA (460 nucleotides) under uncultured bacterium. RNAcentral's name for it is "partial 16S ribosomal RNA". It matches the Rfam family "Bacterial small subunit ribosomal RNA", at positions 338 to 795 of the family's 1533-position model. The record is from RNAcentral.